AUACGUAGGGGGCAAGCGUUAUCCGGAUUUACUGGGUGUAAAGGGAGCGUAGACGGCGAUGCAAGUCUGAAGUGAAAACCCGGGGCUCAACCCCGCGGACUGCUUUGGAAACUGUGUUGCUGGAGUGCAGGAGAGGUGAGUGGAAUUCCUAGUGUAGCGGUGAAAUGCGUAGAUAUUAGGAGGAACACCAGUGGUGAAGGCGGCUCACUGUACUGUAACUGACGUUGAGGCUCGAAAGCGUGGGGAGCAAACAGGAUUAGAGCCCCUGGUAGUCCACGCCGUAAACGAUGAAUGCUAGGUGACGGGGGGCAAAGCCCUUCGGUGCCGCCGCUAACGCAUUAAGCAUUCCACCUGGGGAGUACGUUCGCAAGAAUGAAACUCAAAGGAAUUGACGGGG
This 397-nucleotide ribosomal RNA is filed under the name uncultured bacterium. Its description in RNAcentral is "partial 16S ribosomal RNA". It matches the Rfam family "Bacterial small subunit ribosomal RNA", at positions 523 to 918 of the family's 1533-position model. The record is from RNAcentral.